CACGUAGUUAGCCGGGGCUUUCUUCUCAGGUACCGUCACUCUGAGUUCAGUUACUAACUCAGACGUUCUUCCCUGGCAACAGAGCUUUACGAUCCGAAAACCUUCAUCACUCACGCGGCGUUGCUCCGUCAGACUUGCGUCCAUUGCGGAAGAUUCCCUACUGCUGCCUCCCGUAGGAGUCUGGGCCGUGUCUCAGUCCCAGUGUGGCCGAUCACCCUCUCAGGUCGGCUACGCAUCGUCGCCUUGGUGAGCCGUUACCUCACCAACUAGCUAAUGCGCCGCAGGCCCAUCCUCAAGUGACAGAUUGCUCCGUCUUUCCAAAUUCGUUCAGGCGAACAAAUCAUGUAUUCGGUAUUAGCUACCGUUUCCGGUAGUUGUCCCAAGCUUGAGGGCAGGUUGCCUACGUGUUACUCACCCGUCCGCCGCUAAGUAUCAGAGAAGCAAGCUUCUCAUCAACUCCGCUCGACUUGCAUGUAUUAGGCACGCCGC
RNAcentral lists this ribosomal RNA (489 nucleotides) under uncultured Paenibacillus sp. RNAcentral's name for it is "partial 16S ribosomal RNA". Lineage: Bacteria; Bacillati; Bacillota; Bacilli; Caryophanales; Paenibacillaceae. The record is from RNAcentral.